AUGGCCUCCCGGUAUGUGGCAGUGGGAAUGAUGUUAUCACAGACCGUGGUGGGAGUCCUGGGGAGCUUCUCUCUUCUUCUGCAUUAUCUCUCCCUUUACUACAUUGGGUGCAGGUUAAGGUCCACAGAUUUGAUUGUUAAGCACUUGAUUGCAGCCAACUUCUUGGCUCUUCUCUGUAAAGGAGUCCCCCAGACAAUGGCAGCUUUCCGGGUUAGAUAUUUUCUCAAUGCGAUUGGGUGCAAACUUGUUUUCUAUCUCCACAGAGUGGGCAGGGGAGUGUCCACUGGCACCACCUGCCUCUUGAGUGUCUUCCAGGUGAUCACGGUCAGCUCCAGGAAAUCCAGGUGGGCAAAACUCAAAGAGAAAGCUCCCAAGCAUGUUGGCUUUUCUGUUCUCCUGUGCUGGAUCCUGUGCAUGUUGGUAAACAUCAUCUUUCCCAUAUAUGUGACUGGCAAACGGAACCACAGAAACAUCACAGUGAACAAGGAUUUGGGAGACUGUUGUGGGAGAGGCAACAACAAAAUCGCACAGACACUGUGUGCAAUGUUGUUAUCAUUCCCUGAUGUGUUGUGUCUGGGGUUCAUGCUCUGGGCCAGCAGCUCCAUGGUUUGCAUCCUGCACAGGCACAAGCAGCGGGUCCAGCACAUUUAUAGGAGCAAUCUCUCCCCCAGAGCCUCCCCAGAGAACAGAGCUACGCAGAGCAUCCUCAUCCCGGUGAGCACCUUUGUGUCUUCUUACACUCUCUCCUGCCUUUUGCAAGUUUGUAUGGCUCUUUUGGAUAAUCCCCAUAGUUUACUGGUGAACACUUCAGCCUUAAUGAGUGUAUGUUUCCCAACUCUCAGCCCCUUUGUUCUCAUGAGCUGUGACCCCAGUGUAUACCGGCUUUGCUUUGCCUGGAAAAGUUGA
RNAcentral lists this small RNA (906 nucleotides) under Pongo abelii (Sumatran orangutan). RNAcentral's name for it is "unitary pseudogene". Lineage: Eukaryota; Metazoa; Chordata; Mammalia; Primates; Hominidae. The record is from RNAcentral.